AGGUAAAUAGACUCAAGUCCUAUAAUAUCAAUAUCAGUGCAUACUGAUUAGUUUAUUGAGUUACAACUAGUCAGAAGUCUGGAAAACUAGUUCUCACUCAUAUUGAUGUUCCUGAUUUCCUUCUUGUCUAUAAACAUGGAAAACAGUAGUUAUAAACAAGCAAGAAAUAACUAUAAGAUUUAGAAGAAGGUUAAGUCUUGAGAUUUAGGGAUUAAAUUAUAACCUCUAAUAAAGAUAUUGUGAAAAAAAUCCCUCCUUAAUUUGCAACCCAUGGAUACAUCUUCAUCAUGCAUGGGUAGGGCUGUCUGACUGAAUUCCCGCCUCUCUGCUCCUUUGCUUUACCUUUGUAAUUAUCUGGGGAACAUACAGGCAGUCUUAGCAGAAUCCAAAAACUUGAAAGCCUCUAUUCUCAAUAAUUCUGUGUCAUGCCUUGUAAUAUUAAGUCAAACAAAUAUCUAAGACUUUUAAGGAAACAUUUUCAGAAAUUAGAUUUUUUCCUUCCAUAAUACAACCACACAUUUUAACAGAUUGACUUUAAAACAAUAAAAUAAUUGGUUAACAUACAUUACU
Molecule: long non-coding RNA, 570 nt
Filed under: Bos taurus (domestic cattle)
Lineage: Eukaryota; Metazoa; Chordata; Mammalia; Artiodactyla; Bovidae
Description: long non-coding RNA NONBTAT006308
Source: RNAcentral